This 1601-nucleotide long non-coding RNA is filed under the name Anas platyrhynchos platyrhynchos (common mallard). RNAcentral describes it as "lncRNA (ENSAPLG00000028683.1)". Lineage: Eukaryota; Metazoa; Chordata; Aves; Anseriformes; Anatidae. The record is from RNAcentral.
ACAGUGACACUUAAAGACAGGAGUAGCAGUAGUACUGGGAUAUAGAAAUCCAACAUACAAACUCAGUAACUCUGAGUAAAAUCAGAAUAAGAGGUUUACUGGAUGCUUACAAUGGUUAUAUUCGGUCUGUUUCAAGGCAUUUUUGUGUGUAAAACUUUUUUAUUUUUAAUAAUUACUAUGUUUCUUAUGUGCAGUUUUUAGUACACAUACCCAGUGAAAAUUAUAUGUAAAUUAAUGUUUGGAAGUUCAAUGAUCACUGUAUAAAGCCUUUGCAAGACUGAAAAGACUCAAGAUGCAUGUCUGAAGAUGCAUUGCCCACUGCCUUACUCUGUCCAUUGUAUAUACACAUGUGCAUAUAUUACCUAAUAGCUGUUGCAAAAGAUGACAUCCCUAAAUAGCUCCUGCAUUGUUAAAAAUUAAUAAACUUUUGUUUUUCUCUUUCUGUUCUGCAGAUUGCUUCCAUAUGUGCAGCUAUUUAUGUACACUUAAUGCUAGUAUGGUGUUGAUCCAACUCUGCGUCAGGCUUGCUUUUCAGACUGACGGAAAAUCCAUCCAGCAGAAAUUUAUGAGAACAUCGUCUGAUACUUGGUUGGUGACUUGAAAAGCUAUACCUACAUGUAUAAGAUCCUUCUCACGAGCUGUCUUUGCACUUCUGAGGGCUUGGUGUCCACUGUUCAUAAGAAGGUUAAAAUUAUUGUAUUACACAUUUUCUUAUUUAUUUUUGUUUCCAAUAAGUAAAAAAUAGUGAGCUUCAGUUUUAUAUAAAGGUAUAUUAAAGAUUUUUUAUUAUUUUCUCACUGGUUUGUUGUUUGGUUUUUUUUUUUUUUUCAUUUUCAUUAAUCAUUUUUUAUUAUUUUCUCACUAACAGAAUAUUAGCAGAUAGAAGCUACUCCAGUUACAUGUAGACAAAAAGAUUUUCAGGCUGCUUUGGAAACUCUGCUUUAGAAAUAUUUCUUCACGUAAUUUUAAAAACAUUUUUAUUGUUUAUAAGUUAGGACUUCUUCUGUCUGCUGGAGUUCAACAGGAAGCUUGAAUACAUACCUAGCUUCCAGCUUUAUAGCACCUCCAUUCACUUCACUAGGAUGUGUCAUAGCCCAAAUUUGUAACAUGGAUCAAAACUUAGCUUGGGGACAGAAAGUAGAAAGUGGGAUUAAAUAGCCAAUUUUCAGUCUUAUCAAAAGGUUAAUAGUAGAGGCCUCAAGGCUCAAGAGUAGGUGUCAUGAUGCUUAAUGAUCUGGAAAGAGGAUGAGUAGUGAGAAGCAACAUUUGCAGAUGGCAGAAAGAUGCAUAGGAUGGUCAAGUCCAUGCUGUACUGUCAGUCUCAUCAGAGGGACCUAGAGAAGCUAGAUGGAUGGGCAAAGUGACAAAAACAAACAAACAACAGAAACACACACACAGAAGAAAAAACAAUGCUUUUUGUAUUGAAUAUUGAUUCAUGGAAACUAUCUUUGAAGGAAGAAAAAGACCUGCAUGAAUAUUUAGCAAGAUUCAAAAUUCAUUAUCGUAUCAUCAACACAAUUAAGCAAAUUAUCUAACCACUAUUGUAAAAUUUUAAUGUGAGAAGAGGCCUGAUGUAUAAAUACACUUAGAAAAACAAAAAU